AUACGUAGGUCCCGAACGUUGCGCGAAAUUACUGGGCGUAAAGGGUCAGUAGGCGGUCUGGUAAGUGGAAGGUGAAAGCCUGGGGCUCAACUCCAGAAUUGCCUUCCAAACUGCCGGACUUGAGGCAGGGAGAGGUCGGCGGAAUUCCCGGUGUAGCCGUGAAAUGCGUAGAUAUCGGGAGGAACACCAGUGGCGAAGGCGGCCGACUGGAACUGUCCUGACGCUGAGGGACGAAAGCCAGGGGAGCGAACCGGAUUAGAUACCCUAGUAGUCC
Molecule: ribosomal RNA, 274 nt
Filed under: uncultured bacterium
Lineage: Bacteria
Description: partial 16S ribosomal RNA
Rfam family: Bacterial small subunit ribosomal RNA
Source: RNAcentral